This 242-nucleotide ribosomal RNA is filed under the name Salmonella enterica. Its description in RNAcentral is "partial 16S ribosomal RNA". It matches the Rfam family "Bacterial small subunit ribosomal RNA", at positions 1 to 239 of the family's 1533-position model. RNAcentral also lists the same sequence under 1 other name. The record is from RNAcentral. Lineage: Bacteria; Pseudomonadati; Pseudomonadota; Gammaproteobacteria; Enterobacterales; Enterobacteriaceae.
AAAUUGAAGAGUUUGAUCAUGGCUCAGAUUGAACGCUGGCGGCAGGCCUAACACAUGCAAGUCGAACGGUAACAGGAAGCAGCUUGCUGCUUCGCUGACGAGUGGCGGACGGGUGAGUAAUGUCUGGGAAACUGCCUGAUGGAGGGGGAUAACUACUGGAAACGGUGGCUAAUACCGCAUAACGUCGCAAGACCAAAGAGGGGGACCUUCGGGCCUCUUACCAUCAGAUGUGCCCAGAUGGG